RNAcentral lists this ribosomal RNA (497 nucleotides) under uncultured bacterium. RNAcentral's name for it is "partial 16S ribosomal RNA". It matches the Rfam family "Bacterial small subunit ribosomal RNA", at positions 28 to 507 of the family's 1533-position model. The record is from RNAcentral.
GAUGAACGCUGGCGGCGUGCCUAAUACAUGCAAGUCGAGCGAACAGACGAGGAGCUUGCUCCUCUGACGUUAGCGGCGGACGGGUGAGUAACACGUGGAAAACCUACCUAUAAGACUGGGAUAACUUCGGGAAACCGGAGCUAAUACCGGAUAAUAUAUUGAACCGCAUGGUUCAAUAGUGAAAGACGGUUUUGCUGUCACUUAUAGAUGGAUCCGCGCCGCAUUAGCUAGUUGGUAAGGUAACGGCUUACCAAGGCGACGAUGCGUAGCCGACCUGAGAGGGUGAUCGGCCACACUGGAACUGAGACACGGUCCAGACUCCUACGGGAGGCAGCAGUAGGGAAUCUUCCGCAAUGGGCGAAAGCCUGACGGAGCAACGCCGCGUGAGUGAUGAAGGUCUUCGGAUCGUAAAACUCUGUUAUUAGGGAAGAACAAAUGUGUAAGUAACUAUGCACGUCUUGACGGUACCUAAUCAGAAAGCCACGGCUAACUACGUG